Molecule: ribosomal RNA, 253 nt
Filed under: uncultured bacterium
Lineage: Bacteria
Description: partial 16S ribosomal RNA
Rfam family: Bacterial small subunit ribosomal RNA
Source: RNAcentral
UACAGAGGGGGCAAGCGUUGUUCGGAAUUACUGGGCGUAAAGGGCGCGUAGGCGGCCUGUUAAGUCGAACGUGAAAUCCCCGGGCUCAACCCGGGAACUGCGUCCGAUACUGGCAGGCUUGAAUUCGGGAGAGGGAUGCGGAAUUCCAGGUGUAGCGGUGAAAUGCGUAGAUAUCUGGAGGAACACCGGUGGCGAAGGCGGCAUCCUGGAUCGAGAUUGACGCUGAGGCGCGAAAGCCAGGGGAGCAAACGGG